RNAcentral lists this ribosomal RNA (489 nucleotides) under uncultured bacterium. Its description in RNAcentral is "partial 16S ribosomal RNA". It matches the Rfam family "Bacterial small subunit ribosomal RNA", at positions 28 to 507 of the family's 1533-position model. The record is from RNAcentral.
GAUGAACGCUAGCGGGAGGCCUAACACAUGCAAGCCGAGCGGGAUUUGUUGGUUAGCUUGCUAACUAACAAUGAGAGCGGCGUACGGGUGCGUAGCACGUGUGCAACCUGCCUUUAUCUGGGGGAUAGCCUUUCGAAAGGAAGAUUAAUACCCCAUAACAUAUUGAUUGGCAUCAGUUAAUAUUGAAAGCUCCGGCGGAUAGAGAUGGGCACGCGUAAGAUUAGCUAGUUGGUGAGGUAACGGCUCACCAAGGCUGCGAUCUUUAGGGGGCCUGAGAGGGUGAUACCCCACACGGGAACUGGGACACGGACCAGACGCCUACGGGAGGCAGCAGUGAGGAAUAUUGGACAAUGGGUGAGAGCCUGAUCCAGCCAUCCCGCGUGAAGGACUAAGGACCUAUGGUUUGUAAACUUCUUUUAUACAGGGAUAAACCUACUCUCGUGAGGGUAGCUGAAGGUACUGUAUGAAUAAGCACCGGCUAACUCCGUG